This 2528-nucleotide ribosomal RNA is filed under the name Escherichia coli. RNAcentral's name for it is "bacterial LSU rRNA". It matches the Rfam family "Bacterial large subunit ribosomal RNA", at positions 308 to 2826 of the family's 2925-position model. Lineage: Bacteria; Pseudomonadati; Pseudomonadota; Gammaproteobacteria; Enterobacterales; Enterobacteriaceae. The record is from RNAcentral.
GCCUGAAUCAGUGUGUGUGUUAGUGGAAGCGUCUGGAAAGGCGCGCGAUACAGGGUGACAGCCCCGUACACAAAAAUGCACAUACUGUGAGCUCGAUGAGUAGGGCGGGACACGUGGUAUCCUGUCUGAAUAUGGGGGGACCAUCCUCCAAGGCUAAAUACUCCUGACUGACCGAUAGUGAACCAGUACCGUGAGGGAAAGGCGAAAAGAACCCCGGCGAGGGGAGUGAAAAAGAACCUGAAACCGUGUACGUACAAGCAGUGGGAGCCUCUUUAUGGGGUGACUGCGUACCUUUUGUAUAAUGGGUCAGCGACUUAUAUUCUGUAGCAAGGUUAACCGAAUAGGGGAGCCGAAGGGAAACCGAGUCUUAACUGGGCGUUAAGUUGCAGGGUAUAGACCCGAAACCCGGUGAUCUAGCCAUGGGCAGGUUGAAGGUUGGGUAACACUAACUGGAGGACCGAACCGACUAAUGUUGAAAAAUUAGCGGAUGACUUGUGGCUGGGGGUGAAAGGCCAAUCAAACCGGGAGAUAGCUGGUUCUCCCCGAAAGCUAUUUAGGUAGCGCCUCGUGAAUUCAUCUCCGGGGGUAGAGCACUGUUUCGGCAAGGGGGUCAUCCCGACUUACCAACCCGAUGCAAACUGCGAAUACCGGAGAAUGUUAUCACGGGAGACACACGGCGGGUGCUAACGUCCGUCGUGAAGAGGGAAACAACCCAGACCGCCAGCUAAGGUCCCAAAGUCAUGGUUAAGUGGGAAACGAUGUGGGAAGGCCCAGACAGCCAGGAUGUUGGCUUAGAAGCAGCCAUCAUUUAAAGAAAGCGUAAUAGCUCACUGGUCGAGUCGGCCUGCGCGGAAGAUGUAACGGGGCUAAACCAUGCACCGAAGCUGCGGCAGCGACACUAUGUGUUGUUGGGUAGGGGAGCGUUCUGUAAGCCUGCGAAGGUGUACUGUGAGGUAUGCUGGAGGUAUCAGAAGUGCGAAUGCUGACAUAAGUAACGAUAAAGCGGGUGAAAAGCCCGCUCGCCGGAAGACCAAGGGUUCCUGUCCAACGUUAAUCGGGGCAGGGUGAGUCGACCCCUAAGGCGAGGCCGAAAGGCGUAGUCGAUGGGAAACAGGUUAAUAUUCCUGUACUUGGUGUUACUGCGAAGGGGGGACGGAGAAGGCUAUGUUGGCCGGGCGACGGUUGUCCCGGUUUAAGCGUGUAGGCUGGUUUUCCAGGCAAAUCCGGAAAAUCAAGGCUGAGGCGUGAUGACGAGGCACUACGGUGCUGAAGCAACAAAUGCCCUGCUUCCAGGAAAAGCCUCUAAGCAUCAGGUAACAUCAAAUCGUACCCCAAACCGACACAGGUGGUCAGGUAGAGAAUACCAAGGCGCUUGAGAGAACUCGGGUGAAGGAACUAGGCAAAAUGGUGCCGUAACUUCGGGAGAAGGCACGCUGAUAUGUAGGUGAAGCGACUUGCUCGUGGAGCUGAAAUCAGUCGAAGAUACCAGCUGGCUGCAACUGUUUAUUAAAAACACAGCACUGUGCAAACACGAAAGUGGACGUAUACGGUGUGACGCCUGCCCGGUGCCGGAAGGUUAAUUGAUGGGGUUAGCGGUAACGCGAAGCUCUUGAUCGAAGCCCCGGUAAACGGCGGCCGUAACUAUAACGGUCCUAAGGUAGCGAAAUUCCUUGUCGGGUAAGUUCCGACCUGCACGAAUGGCGUAAUGAUGGCCAGGCUGUCUCCACCCGAGACUCAGUGAAAUUGAACUCGCUGUGAAGAUGCAGUGUACCCGCGGCAAGACGGAAAGACCCCGUGAACCUUUACUAUAGCUUGACACUGAACAUUGAGCCUUGAUGUGUAGGAUAGGUGGGAGGCUUUGAAGUGUGGACGCCAGUCUGCAUGGAGCCGGCCUUGAAAUACCACCCUUUAAUGUUUGAUGUUCUAACGUUGGCCCCUGAUCGGGGUUGCGGACAGUGUCUGGUGGGUAGUUUGACUGGGGCGGUCUCCUCCUAAAGAGUAACGGAGGAGCACGAAGGUUGGCUAAUCCUGGUCGGACAUCAGGAGGUUAGUGCAAUGGCAUAAGCCAGCUUGACUGCGAGCGUGACGGCGCGAGCAGGUGCGAAAGCAGGUCAUAGUGAUCCGGUGGUUCUGAAUGGAAGGGCCAUCGCUCAACGGAUAAAAGGUACUCCGGGGAUAACAGGCUGAUACCGCCCAAGAGUUCAUAUCGACGGCGGUGUUUGGCACCUCGAUGUCGGCUCAUCACAUCCUGGGGCUGAAGUAGGUCCCAAGGGUAUGGCUGUUCGCCAUUUAAAGUGGUACGCGAGCUGGGUUUAGAACGUCGUGAGACAGUUCGGUCCCUAUCUGCCGUGGGCGCUGGAGAACUGAGGGGGGCUGCUCCUAGUACGAGAGGACCGGAGUGGACGCAUCACUGGUGUUCGGGUUGUCAUGCCAAUGGCACUGCCCGGUAGCUAAAUGCGGAAGAGAUAAGUGCUGAAAGCAUCUAAGCACGAAACUUGCCCCGAGAUGAGUUCUCCCUGACUCCUUGA